RNAcentral lists this ribosomal RNA (492 nucleotides) under uncultured bacterium. RNAcentral's name for it is "partial 16S ribosomal RNA". It matches the Rfam family "Bacterial small subunit ribosomal RNA", at positions 29 to 507 of the family's 1533-position model. The record is from RNAcentral.
AGUGAACGCUGGCGGUAGGCCUAACACAUGCAAGUCGAACGGCAGCACAGUAAGAGCUUGCUCUUACGGGUGGCGAGUGGCGGACGGGUGAGGAAUACAUCGGAAUCUACUUUUUCGGGGGGGAUAACGUAGGGAAACUUACGCUAAUACCGCAUACGACCUACGGGUGAAAGCAGGGGAUCUUCGGACCUUGCGCGAAUGAAUGAGCCGAUGUCGGAUUAGCUAGUUGGCGGGGUAAAGGCCCACCAAGGCGACGGUCCGUAGCUGGUCUGAGAGGAUGAUCGGCCACACUGGAACUGAGCCCCGGUCCAGACUCCUCCGGGAGGCAGCAGUGGGGAAUAUUGGACAAUGGGCGCAAGCCUGAUCCAGCCAUACCGCGUGGGUGAAGAAGGCCUUCGGGUUGUAAAGCCCUUUUGUUGGGAAAGAAAAGCAGCAGGUUAAUACCCCGCUGUUCUGACGGUACCCAAAGAAUAAGCACCGGCUAACUUCGUG